GACGAACGCUGGCGGCGCGCCUAACACAUGCAAGUCGAACGAGCGAGAGAGAGCUUGCUUUCUCAAGCGAGUGGCGAACGGGUGAGUAACGCGUGAGGAACCUGCCUCAAAGAGGGGGACAACAGUUGGAAACGACUGCUAAUACCGCAUAAGCCCACGACCCGGCAUCGGGUAGAGGGAAAAGGAGCAAUCCGCUUUGAGAUGGCCUCGCGUCCGAUUAGCUAGUUGGUGAGGUAACGGCCCACCAAGGCGACGAUCGGUAGCCGGACUGAGAGGUUGAACGGCCACAUUGGGACUGAGACACGGCCCAGACUCCUACGGGAGGCAGCAGUGGGGAAUAUUGCACAAUGGGGGAAACCCUGAUGCAGCGACGCCGCGUGGAGGAAGAAGGUCUUCGGAUUGUAAACUCCUGUUGUUGAGGAAGAUAAUGACGGUACUCAACAAGGAAGAGACGGCUAACUACGUG
This 466-nucleotide ribosomal RNA is filed under the name uncultured bacterium. Its description in RNAcentral is "partial 16S ribosomal RNA". It matches the Rfam family "Bacterial small subunit ribosomal RNA", at positions 28 to 507 of the family's 1533-position model. The record is from RNAcentral.